Molecule: ribosomal RNA, 499 nt
Filed under: uncultured Glomeromycotina
Lineage: Eukaryota; Fungi; Glomeromycota
Description: partial small subunit ribosomal RNA
Rfam family: Eukaryotic small subunit ribosomal RNA
Source: RNAcentral
CCAAUAGCGUAUAUUAAAGUUGUUGCAGUUAAAAAGCUCGUAGUUGAAUUUCGAGACCGGCUUACUGGUCGUGCUAUUGUACGUACUGGUAUAAUCGGUUUCUCCUUUCUGACGAACUAUAAUGCCAUUAAUUUGGUGUUUUAGGGAAUCAGGACUGUUACUUUGAAAAAAUUAGAGUGUUUAAAGCAGGCUCACGCUUGAAUACAUUAGCAUGGAAUAACGGAAUAGGACGUUUGAUUCUAUUUUGUUGGUUUCUAGGAUCGACGUAAUGAUUAAUAGGGAUAGUUGGGGGCAUUAGUAUUCAAUUGUCAGAGGUGAAAUUAUUGGAUUUAUUGAAGACUAACUACUGCGAAAGCAUUUGCCAAGGAUGUUUUCAUUAAUCAAGAACGAAAGUUAGGGGAUCGAAGACGAUCAGAUACCGUCGUAGUCUUAACCAUAAACUAUGCCGACUAGGGAUCGGAUGAUGUUAAUUUUUUAAUGACUCAUUCGGCGCCUUACG